AGUGAACGCUGGCGGUAGGCCUAACACAUGCAAGUCGAACGGCAGCACAGUAAGAGCUUGCUCUUACGGGUGGCGAGUGGCGGACGGGUGAGGAAUACAUCGGAAUCUACUUUUUCGUGGGGGAUAACGUAGGGAAACUUACGCUAAUACCGCAUACGACCUACGGGUGAAAGCAGGGGAUCUUCGGACCUUGCGCGAUUGAAUGAGCCGAUGUCGGAUUAGCUAGUUGGCGGGGUAAAGGCCCACCAAGGCGACGAUCCGUAGCUGGUCUGAGAGGAUGAUCGGCCACACUGGAACUGAGACACGGUCCAGACUCCUACGGGAGGCAGCAGUGGGGAAUAUUGGACAAUGGGCGCAAGCCUGAUCCAGCCAUACCGCGUGGGUGAAGAAGGCCUUCGGGUUGUAAAGCCCUUUUGUUGGGAAAGAAAAGCAGCAGGUUAAGACCCCGCUGUUCUGACGGUACCCAAAGAAUAAGCACCGGCUAACUUCGUG
Molecule: ribosomal RNA, 492 nt
Filed under: uncultured bacterium
Lineage: Bacteria
Description: partial 16S ribosomal RNA
Rfam family: Bacterial small subunit ribosomal RNA
Source: RNAcentral